GCUGGUGUGGCUCAGCGGAUAGAGCAUUGGGCUGCAGACUGAAGGGUCCGGGUUCGAUUCCGGUCAAGGGCA
RNAcentral lists this transfer RNA (72 nucleotides) under Myotis brandtii (Brandt's bat). It matches the Rfam family "tRNA". From Rfam's summary of the family: Transfer RNA (tRNA) molecules are approximately 80 nucleotides in length. Their secondary structure includes four short double-helical elements and three loops (D, anti-codon, and T loops). The record is from Rfam by way of RNAcentral. Lineage: Eukaryota; Metazoa; Chordata; Mammalia; Chiroptera; Vespertilionidae.